RNAcentral lists this transfer RNA (364 nucleotides) under uncultured Microcystis sp. RNAcentral's name for it is "partial 16S-23S ribosomal RNA intergenic spacer". The stretch from base 135 to 208 matches the Rfam family "tRNA". Lineage: Bacteria; Bacillati; Cyanobacteriota; Cyanophyceae; Chroococcales; Microcystaceae. The record is from RNAcentral.
AAAGGGAGACCUAAUUCAGGUAGGAGACGAAAAAAAAGUAGUCGCUACCAAGAAUCAAUCCCAAAAGGUCGGAGCGAGGCGAAAUUGGCUUCAAACUAGGUUCUGGGUUCAAACAAGACCUGAAUCAGGAACAAGGGCUAUUAGCUCAGGUGGUUAGAGCGCACCCCUGAUAAGGGUGAGGUCCCUGGUUCGAGUCCAGGAUGGCCCACCUGUACAGGUGGCAAAAAGAAAGAAAAGAAGCGAGGAAUCAGCACCUUAUCUUACUGACAUAGUAAGAGAGAAUGCUGGCUCUGAGUAAAGAGUCCAGAGGAACCUUGAAAACUGCAUAGAGCUAGGUGAAAAAGCCAAAAAAGAAGACCGCAAG